ACCCGCAUAAUCCUUGUUUUGGAACCUCCUGUUCCCUUCUUCCUUGAGCUCAUGGGCUCUUUUCAAAAAUAUUGAGGAGUCAAAAUCGACACCGCCAUUAGCAUUUGGAAGCGUCGUUGGAUUUGAAAUAUUACCACUAUCAACACUUGAUACUUGGUUUGAAACACCACUACCCUUCUUUCUUCUACCUCCUGAUUUCCCCAUGAAAUUAGCUCACUCUGAUGUCACGCACGCUCACAGACACCCCCUAGAUAAAUAUAAAACCAUCAUUGACAAAGCCAAACUGAA
RNAcentral lists this unclassified non-coding RNA (288 nucleotides) under Hevea brasiliensis (rubber tree). The record is from RNAcentral. Lineage: Eukaryota; Viridiplantae; Streptophyta; Magnoliopsida; Malpighiales; Euphorbiaceae.